UACGUAGGGUGCGAGCGUUGUCCGGAAUUAUUGGGCGUAAAGAGCUCGUAGGCGGUCUGUCGCGUCGAUCGUGAAAACUUGGGGCUUAACCCUGAGCUUGCGGUCGAUACGGGCAUGACUGGAGUUCGGCAGGGGAGACUGGAAUUCCUGGUGUAGCGGUGAAAUGCGCAGAUAUCAGGAGGAACACCAAUUGCGAAGGCAGCUCGCUGGGACGUGACUGACGCUGAGACGCGAAAGCGUGGGGAGCGAACAGG
RNAcentral lists this ribosomal RNA (254 nucleotides) under uncultured bacterium. RNAcentral describes it as "partial 16S ribosomal RNA". It matches the Rfam family "Bacterial small subunit ribosomal RNA", at positions 524 to 776 of the family's 1533-position model. The record is from RNAcentral.